Long non-coding RNA from Merops nubicus (carmine bee-eater), 1047 nucleotides. RefSeq lists it as uncharacterized. The record is from RefSeq and is a predicted model, not a curated record. Lineage: Eukaryota; Metazoa; Chordata; Aves; Coraciiformes; Meropidae. The transcript is spliced from 2 exons.
GUAUCAUAUCCACAUUUCUUCACGUCCACCCUUUUGGAGCCAAUAUAGAAUAUCUGUGGUCUUAUAUGCAGCAGUUGGACUCCAGGAUCUCUGCAAACGAGAUAGAAAUGCUUUUGAUGAGACUGCCACGCAUGUUUAAACAAGAAUUCACUGGUGUAGGAGCAACACUGGAAAAGAGGUGGAAGUUUUGUGCCUUUGAAGGAAUUAAAACUGUCUGACUGUGACAAGAAACAAAGCUAUGCAGAAGAAGAAGAAUUCCUAGAGCAUGGCAGGGUUAUGAAGUAUUAAAGUAAGGAUUUGGGUUUGGGCACAUAGUAGUACGUUUUCAAAGUUAUCCAAGCCUAAUUUUAGUUACAUUUGUGACGUUCUCUUGUGAGUGGAAAUGUAGUUGUGCACCAGUUCUUAAAAUAAAAUAAAAGAAAAUUUUUCAAAGUUUCCAAACGUGAGGGAUCUGUUUCCUAUGAAAACUGAAGAAAGGCACCACAGGCAUCAUGAUUUCAGAGGACUCCAUGUCCUACACCUGAGAAAAGCUCAUUGAGCCAAGAGCUGCUGAAGGGUGGCCCAGCAGUGGUGGCUGAGCUGCAGCGUAGGGGAGAACAUCCCAUGGAGCAGAGCUCAGUAAAAUGUCCCUUUAUUGAAAGUUCUUUCCGUUGGGUCGGAAACCUGAGUGAUGUUAGUGAGGGAAAGCAUACCAAAAGAAAACUUGAAGAUGUGUCUGAAGUUAUUGUAUUUUGUAAAUUAAGUUAUAUGCUGUACCAGGGAUUUUUGCCUUAUUGAAAGAGGCCUGAAAAUGUGAUUGGAGUCCUCAAGAAUGCUUUAUUGAGAAUAUUAUUUUUCUAAUGUAACUAUUCUCCAUUACGAGUUCUUUUAACAUGGAUUGCAUAUCAAUUUUCAUAAACAUGUAAAUAAGGAGGAAACCAGUGUUACUGUAUUGUAUUUGGUAUGUAACAUUCAGGUUUAUGCAUCAAAAUAAACAUUCAGUUGCAUUACUGUUACAAAUUUUAUAGCAGAUAUAUUAAUUUUUAUCAAUAAAUAUGGCUUCUACCA